UCCGACCUCAGAUCGGACGAGAUUACCCGCUGAAUUUAAGCAUAUCACUAAGCGGAGGAAAAAGAAACUAA
Molecule: ribosomal RNA, 71 nt
Filed under: Conus furvus
Lineage: Eukaryota; Metazoa; Mollusca; Gastropoda; Neogastropoda; Conidae
Description: partial 28S ribosomal RNA
Rfam family: Eukaryotic large subunit ribosomal RNA
Source: RNAcentral